UUAAGCGACUAAGCGUACACGGUGGAUGCCCUGGCAGUCAGAGGCGAUGAAGGACGUGCUAAUCUGCGAUAAGCGUCGGUAAGGUGAUAUGAACCGUUAUAACCGGCGAUUUCCGAAUGGGGAAACCCAGUGUGAUUCGUCACACUAUCAUUAACUGAAUCCAUAGGUUAAUGAGGCGAACCGGGGGAACUGAAACAUCUAAGUACCCCGAGGAAAAGAAAUCAACCGAGAUUCCCCCAGUAGCGGCGAGCGAACGGGGAGCAGCCCAGAGCCUGAAUCAGUGUGUGUGUUAGUGGAAGCGUCUGGAAAGGCGCGCGAUACAGGGUGACAGCCCCGUACACAAAAAUGCACAUACUGUGAGCUCGAUGAGUAGGGCGGGACACGUGGUAUCCUGUCUGAAUAUGGGGGGACCAUCCUCCAAGGCUAAAUACUCCUGACUGACCGAUAGUGAACCAGUACCGUGAGGGAAAGGCGAAAAGAACCCCGGCGAGGGGAGUGAAAAAGAACCUGAAACCGUGUACGUACAAGCAGUGGGAGCACGCUUAGGCGUGUGACUGCGUACCUUUUGUAUAAUGGGUCAGCGACUUAUAUUCUGUAGCAAGGUUAACCGAAUAGGGGAGCCGAAGGGAAACCGAGUCUUAACUGGGCGUUAAGUUGCAGGGUAUAGACCCGAAACCCGGUGAUCUAGCCAUGGGCAGGUUGAAGGUUGGGUAACACUAACUGGAGGACCGAACCGACUAAUGUUGAAAAAUUAGCGGAUGACUUGUGGCUGGGGGUGAAAGGCCAAUCAAACCGGGAGAUAGCUGGUUCUCCCCGAAAGCUAUUUAGGUAGCGCCUCGUGAAUUCAUCUCCGGGGGUAGAGCACUGUUUCGGCAAGGGGGUCAUCCCGACUUACCAACCCGAUGCAAACUGCGAAUACCGGAGAAUGUUAUCACGGGAGACACACGGCGGGUGCUAACGUCCGUCGUGAAGAGGGAAACAACCCAGACCGCCAGCUAAGGUCCCAAAGUCAUGGUUAAGUGGGAAACGAUGUGGGAAGGCCCAGACAGCCAGGAUGUUGGCUUAGAAGCAGCCAUCAUUUAAAGAAAGCGUAAUAGCUCACUGGUCGAGUCGGCCUGCGCGGAAGAUGUAACGGGGCUAAACCAUGCACCGAAGCUGCGGCAGCGACGCUGAUGCGUUGUUGGGUAGGGGAGCGUUCUGUAAGCCUGCGAAGGUGUGCUGUGAGGCAUGCUGGAGGUAUCAGAAGUGCGAAUGCUGACAUAAGUAACGAUAAAGCGGGUGAAAAGCCCGCUCGCCGGAAGACCAAGGGUUCCUGUCCAACGUUAAUCGGGGCAGGGUGAGUCGACCCCUAAGGCGAGGCCGAAAGGCGUAGUCGAUGGGAAACAGGUUAAUAUUCCUGUACUUGGUGUUACUGCGAAGGGGGGACGGAGAAGGCUAUGUUGGCCGGGCGACGGUUGUCCCGGUUUAAGCGUGUAGGCUGGUUUUCCAGGCAAAUCCGGAAAAUCAAGGCUGAGGCGUGAUGACGAGGCACUACGGUGCUGAAGCAACAAAUGCCCUGCUUCCAGGAAAAGCCUCUAAGCAUCAGGUAACAUCAAAUCGUACCCCAAACCGACACAGGUGGUCAGGUAGAGAAUACCAAGGCGCUUGAGAGAACUCGGGUGAAGGAACUAGGCAAAAUGGUGCCGUAACUUCGGGAGAAGGCACGCUGAUAUGUAGGUGAAGUCCCUCGCGGAUGGAGCUGAAAUCAGUCGAAGAUACCAGCUGGCUGCAACUGUUUAUUAAAAACACAGCACUGUGCAAACACGAAAGUGGACGUAUACGGUGUGACGCCUGCCCGGUGCCGGAAGGUUAAUUGAUGGGGUCAGCGCAAGCGAAGCUCUUGAUCGAAGCCCCGGUAAACGGCGGCCGUAACUAUAACGGUCCUAAGGUAGCGAAAUUCCUUGUCGGGUAAGUUCCGACCUGCACGAAUGGCGUAAUGAUGGCCAGGCUGUCUCCACCCGAGACUCAGUGAAAUUGAACUCGCUGUGAAGAUGCAGUGUACCCGCGGCAAGACGGAAAGACCCCGUGAACCUUUACUAUAGCUUGACACUGAACAUUGAGCCUUGAUGUGUAGGAUAGGUGGGAGGCUUUGAAGUGUGGACGCCAGUCUGCAUGGAGCCGACCUUGAAAUACCACCCUUUAAUGUUUGAUGUUCUAACGUUGACCCGUGAUCCGGGUUGCGGACAGUGUCUGGUGGGUAGUUUGACUGGGGCGGUCUCCUCCUAAAGAGUAACGGAGGAGCACGAAGGUUGGCUAAUCCUGGUCGGACAUCAGGAGGUUAGUGCAAUGGCAUAAGCCAGCUUGACUGCGAGCGUGACGGCGCGAGCAGGUGCGAAAGCAGGUCAUAGUGAUCCGGUGGUUCUGAAUGGAAGGGCCAUCGCUCAACGGAUAAAAGGUACUCCGGGGAUAACAGGCUGAUACCGCCCAAGAGUUCAUAUCGACGGCGGUGUUUGGCACCUCGAUGUCGGCUCAUCACAUCCUGGGGCUGAAGUAGGUCCCAAGGGUAUGGCUGUUCGCCAUUUAAAGUGGUACGCGAGCUGGGUUUAGAACGUCGUGAGACAGUUCGGUCCCUAUCUGCCGUGGGCGCUGGAGAACUGAGGGGGGCUGCUCCUAGUACGAGAGGACCGGAGUGGACGCAUCACUGGUGUUCGGGUUGUCAUGCCAAUGGCACUGCCCGGUAGCUAAAUGCGGAAGAGAUAAGUGCUGAAAGCAUCUAAGCACGAAACUUGCCCCGAGAUGAGUUCUCCCUGACUCCUUGAGAGUCCUGAAGGAACGUUGAAGACGACGACGUUGAUAGGCCGGGUGUGUAAGCGCAGCGAUGCGUUGAGCUAACCGGUACUAAUGAACCGUGAGGCUUAACCUU
Molecule: ribosomal RNA, 2902 nt
Filed under: Escherichia coli KO11FL
Lineage: Bacteria; Pseudomonadati; Pseudomonadota; Gammaproteobacteria; Enterobacterales; Enterobacteriaceae
Description: bacterial LSU rRNA
Rfam family: Bacterial large subunit ribosomal RNA
Source: RNAcentral